This 253-nucleotide ribosomal RNA is filed under the name uncultured bacterium. Its description in RNAcentral is "partial 16S ribosomal RNA". It matches the Rfam family "Bacterial small subunit ribosomal RNA", at positions 524 to 776 of the family's 1533-position model. The record is from RNAcentral.
UACGUAGGGCGCAAGCGUUGUCCGGAAUCAUUGGGCGUAAAGAGCUCGUAGGCGGCCUGUUGCGUCCGCUGUGAAAUCCCGGGGCUUAACCCCGGGCGUGCAGUGGAUACGGGCUGGCUGGAGGCAGGCAGGGGAGAACGGAAUUCCCGGUGUAGCGGUGAAAUGCGCAGAUAUCGGGAGGAACACCGGUGGCGAAGGCGGUUCUCUGGGCCGAUACUGACGCUGAGGAGCGAAAGCGUGGGGAGCGAACAGG